This 441-nucleotide ribosomal RNA is filed under the name uncultured bacterium. RNAcentral's name for it is "partial 16S ribosomal RNA". It matches the Rfam family "Bacterial small subunit ribosomal RNA", at positions 338 to 795 of the family's 1533-position model. The record is from RNAcentral.
CCUACGGGUGGCAGCAGUGGGGAAUAUUGCACAAUGGGCGAAAGCCUGAUGCAGCAACGCCGCGUGAAGGAAGACGGUUUUCGGAGUGUAAACUUCUGUUCUUAGUGAAGAAAAAUGACGGUAACUAAGGAGCAAGCCACGGCUAACUACGUGCCAGCAGCCGCGGUAAUACGCAGGUGGCAAGCGUUGUCCGGAAUUACUGGGUGUAAAGGGAGCGUAGGCGGGAAGCCAAGUCAGCUGUGAAAACUACGGGCGUAACCUGUAGACUGCAGUUGAAACUGGCUUACUAGAGUGAAGUAGAGGUAGGCGGAAUUCGGGGUGUAGCGGUGAAAUGCGUAGAUAUUCGGAGGAACACCGGUGGCGAAGGCGGCCGACUGGACUUUAACUGACGCUGAGGCUCGAAAGUGUGGGGAGCAAACAGGAUUAGAUACCCGAGUAGUC